This 90-nucleotide transfer RNA is filed under the name Burkholderia pseudomallei. Its description in RNAcentral is "tRNA-Und (NNN) (tRNA-Und-NNN-2-1)". Lineage: Bacteria; Pseudomonadati; Pseudomonadota; Betaproteobacteria; Burkholderiales; Burkholderiaceae. The record is from RNAcentral.
GCUCCAGCGUAGUUAAAUCCUAUCGCUGGCUUUCAUUCUCAAAAUCCCCCGCCCCAAGGCGUGCCGGUUCGAUUCCGGCCCUGGGCACCA